Molecule: ribosomal RNA, 495 nt
Filed under: uncultured bacterium
Lineage: Bacteria
Description: partial 16S ribosomal RNA
Rfam family: Bacterial small subunit ribosomal RNA
Source: RNAcentral
GACGAACGCUGGCGGCGUGCCUAAUACAUGCAAGUAGAACGCUGAAGGAGGAGCUUGCUUCUCUGGAUGAGUUGCGAACGGGUGAGUAACGCGUAGGUAACCUGCCUGGUAGCGGGGGAUAACUAUUGGAGACGAUAGCUAAUACCGCAUAAGAGUAGAUGUUGCAUGACAUUUGCUUAAAAGGUGCAAUUGCAUCACUACCAGAUGGACCUGCGUUGUAUUAGCUAGUUGGUGGGGUAACGGCUCACCAAGGCGACGAUACAUAGCCGACCUGAGAGGGUGAUCGGCCACACUGGGACUGAGACACGGCCCAGACUCCUACGGGAGGCAGCAGUAGGGAAUCUUCGGCAAUAGACGGAAGUCUGACCGAGCAACGCCGCGUGAGUGAAGAAGGUUUUCGGAUCGUAAAGCUCUGUUGUAAGAGAAGAACGAGUGUGAGAGUGGAAAGUUCACACUGUGACGGUAUCUUACCAGAAAGGGACGGCUAACUACGUG